CAGCCGCCGCGGGAAUACGUAGGUCCCGAGCGUUGUCCGGAUUUAUUGGGCGUAAAGGGAGCGCAGGCGGUUUAGUAAGUCUGAAGUUAAAGGCAUUGGCUCAACCAAUGUAAGCUUUGGAAACUGUUAGACUUGAGUGCAGAAGGGGAGAGUGGAAUUCCAUGUGUAGCGGUGAAAUGCGUAGAUAUAUGGAGGAACACCGGUGGCGAAAGCGGCUCUCUGGUCUGUCACUGACGCUGAGGCUCGAAAGCGUGGGUAGCGAACAGGAUUAGAUACCCCGGUAGUCCCUGUCUCUUAUACC
Molecule: ribosomal RNA, 301 nt
Filed under: uncultured bacterium
Lineage: Bacteria
Description: partial 16S ribosomal RNA
Rfam family: Bacterial small subunit ribosomal RNA
Source: RNAcentral